Salmo salar (Atlantic salmon) is the source of this 254-nucleotide non-coding RNA. The record is from RefSeq and is a predicted model, not a curated record. Lineage: Eukaryota; Metazoa; Chordata; Actinopteri; Salmoniformes; Salmonidae.
UUGACUUUUGGACUCUCGUUGAGUGUUUCUUGGAUUUGCUGUCUGCUAAUUGGAGGGAUAACUUGUUUUACACUUAAAGGUAAUUCUAAUGGGCAUCAUGCCUACACUGGACCUGAACCAACUGGAUCCUAUGCCAAAGCAAGUGUGGUGCCUAGUCCAAAUGCUAAAGCUACUGGCCAAUGCCACGUCAGCAGAAGCUUCUGGCCACAAUGCCACGUCAGCAGAAGCUACUGGCCACAAUGCCACGUCAGCAG